GAGAAGACUUUGGCCAAUAAGGGAAUAGACCUUGAUGGCUAACUUUAGGAAUGAAAUCUAAUGGUUUUUAGCAAGGCAGAGGGAAUAGAGGAGUGGUUAAGACUGCGAGAGCCAUGCUUGUCAUGCUCUUGCCUACUGGAGUUCCUACACUGAGCUUCUGAGUUGGUGUUACAGUGGUGCCUGACAUCAGUGAGAGCACAGCCCACCUGAUCCUAGCGUUUCAGUCCUUUCUUCACCCCUCGUCUUCCUGGUUAGGUUGCCCCUGAAGCUGCUCUGAGUGCAGUUUCUCUUUAUCAACUCCAGUUGAGAAACAAGAUCAGACAGCACAUUAUGCACAACACGACGGCCUUCAAGAACAGUGCAAGCCAUAGCUACUACAUUAAGUUUUUCCUGUUAAAUCUCAUUAGGAACAAAACAAAUCUCCCGCCAAUGCUGUCAUUGGUGAUUUAGUUAUAAACAGCAGUUUUGCGAACAUGACAAUAUAAAAGAAACAUUCUUGGUCCCCCCCCCCCACUGUAGCAGGUUCCUUCUGCAGGGAACAUUAUAUGAUUUAUUAAUGUGCUUUUAUUUUCCUUUAUGUCAUUUCACAGAUCAUGAUGCUGUGCUCCCAUUUAUGCAUUUAGAUGCAUUAAUGCAUAGAGCCAUAUAUACAUUCAUUCCUCAUAACACAUAAUACUAAGAAAGUGCUUUAGAGUGCUUAUGCCAUUUAUUAGAGGAAGGAGCUCAGUCUUUUAAUCCUUCUCUUGUUAUAUUCAUUACUUCUUGACACAUUUCCGGUUUUCCUCGUGCCCUCUUGUGGUUCUGGACCUACUAUUGUAUUAUUAGAUAAUUAUGACUCCUGGAUAUCCCUCUUUCUCCUCCUC
Molecule: long non-coding RNA, 863 nt
Filed under: Mus musculus (house mouse)
Lineage: Eukaryota; Metazoa; Chordata; Mammalia; Rodentia; Muridae
Description: long non-coding RNA chr3:28686106-28686969
Source: RNAcentral